Molecule: small nuclear RNA, 107 nt
Filed under: Sciurus vulgaris (Eurasian red squirrel)
Lineage: Eukaryota; Metazoa; Chordata; Mammalia; Rodentia; Sciuridae
Source: RNAcentral
GUGCUUACCUUGGAAGCACAUAUACUAAAGUUGGAAUGAUGCAAAGUAGACUAGAAUGGCCCCUAUGCAAGGAGGACAGGACAAUUGAUGAAGUGUUCCAUAUUUUA